AUUGAACGCUGGCGGCAGGCUUAACACAUGCAAGUCGAGCGAGCGGCGGACGGGUGAGUAAUGUCUGGGAAACUGCCUGAUGGAGGGGGCUAACUACUGGACACGGUAGCUAAUACCGCAUACCCUCAGAUGUGCCCAGAUGGGAUUAGCUAGUAGGUGGGGUAAUCGCUCACCUAGGCGACUAUCCCUAGCUGGUCUGAGAGGAUGACCAGCACAACGGGAACUGAGACACGGUCCAGACUCCUACGUGAGGCAGCAGUGGGGAAUAUUGCACAAUGGGCGCAAGCCUGAUGCAGCCAUGCCGCGUGUGUGAAGAAGGCCUUCGGGUUGUAAAGCACUUUCAGCGAGGAGGCGUUACUCGCAGAAGAAGCACCGGCUAACUCCGUGCCAGCAGCCGCGGUAAUUC
This 406-nucleotide ribosomal RNA is filed under the name uncultured bacterium. RNAcentral describes it as "partial 16S ribosomal RNA". It matches the Rfam family "Bacterial small subunit ribosomal RNA", at positions 30 to 526 of the family's 1533-position model. The record is from RNAcentral.